GAUGAAGAACGUAGUGAAAUGCGAUAACUAAUGUGAAUUGCAGAAUUCAGUGAAUCAUCGAAUCUUUGAACGCACAUUGCGCCCGCCAGUAUUCUGGCGGGCAUGCCUGUCUGAGCGUCAUUUCAACCCUCAUGCCCCUAGGGCGUGGUGUUGGGGAUCGGCCAAAGCCCGCGAGGGACGGCCGGCCCCUAAAUCUAGUGGCGGACCCGUCGUGGCCUCCUCUGCGAAGUAGUGAUAUUCCGCAUCGGAGAGCGACGAGCCCCUGCCGUUAAACCCCCAACUUUCCAAGGUUGACCUCAGAUCAGGUAGGAAUACCCGCUGAACUUAAGCAUAUCAAUAAGCGGAGGA
RNAcentral lists this unclassified non-coding RNA (348 nucleotides) under soil metagenome. Its description in RNAcentral is "partial contains 5.8S ribosomal RNA, internal transcribed spacer 2, and large subunit ribosomal RNA". The stretch from base 1 to 120 matches the Rfam family "5.8S ribosomal RNA", at positions 35 to 154 of the family's 154-position model. The record is from RNAcentral.